CGAACUUGGAUCCUUCCACUUUCAAGGGACAGGGACGGCCCCAGCACCAGGCAGCUGCAUCCUGGUCCGUCUUGGGCACACCUGCCCGCUUCGAGACUUGAACCCUGAGGCAGGAACAUCUGGAGGCCCAGGGCCCACAGGUGGAUUCCUCUGAGCAUGACGACUGGGUGCCAGGACCAAGGACCUGGAUGGACAGCCACACGGGGCUCAGACUGCCUUGUUCGACCGGGAUCUGGAGCCAGCCCCAAGUACUGACAGGCAGGCGGCUGGGCACCCUGGAUCACAGGGACCUGAUGAGGACAAGAGGCAGAACUUGAAGCACUGAUCCACUUGUCUGAGCCCUCAGAUGGAGACCAGAGAGAUUGGGCUGGGCAUGGGUGAGUGUGUUGGGGGACAUGAGGGUCUGUCCAGCAAGGUAGCCGGAUGCCUACCUUUCCGUGAGGGGGCUUCAGAAGCAGCUCCUUGCUGGAAGAAGGACCAGAACUCCUUUGUCAGAGAGCCCUGCACUAUUGUUUGAGAAAGCACUGGUCAUCUCCAUCCAAGAGCUGGCUGUGAGGCUGUCAUGGUUUGUGUUUGGCCCGAAGACCCUGAGAUGAAGAUAGCAGAGUGGAGAAGUGGUUCAGACGAGGGAAGGCAGCAAUGAAGUGUAUCGGGGAUGCUUGGGCCGGGGAUUUAGCUCAGUGGUUCUGCCGCCUGCCUUGCAAGCGCAAGGACCCGAGUGAUCCCCAGUACCAAAAAAACCCAACAAAAAAACCCCCAAACAACUAAGAAGACCUCAGACAACCCAGGGUGUGAUGGUCACCUUAACCUCAGGGGAAGAGCAACCAGGAUGCUAAAGCCCAUUUGUCACUGGUGGGGUUGCUCAGUGGCAGAGCACGUCCUUACCAAGCUUGCAGUCCUGGAUUCAAUUGCCUAGAACUAAAGAAAAAAA
RNAcentral lists this long non-coding RNA (931 nucleotides) under Heterocephalus glaber (naked mole-rat). Its description in RNAcentral is "lncRNA (ENSHGLG00100037288.1)". The record is from RNAcentral. Lineage: Eukaryota; Metazoa; Chordata; Mammalia; Rodentia; Bathyergidae.